UUGCAAAUUUGUAAUUUUAAUCUAUAAAAUUAUAUAAGAGUAUGGAGAUGGGGUAAAAUUUCAAGUGGACAAAAGGGACAGUUGAAUUUAAUGUAUGGAUAAAAAGGAACUAAUUUUAAUUCUAAUAUUCCUAAAUCAAGAUGAAUUCCUCUUUGAAAUAAAUAUCUAUUGAUCCCUUUAAACAUAAAAUCCAAAAUCUGCUACUACUGCUAAUUUAAUUAUGGCAUACAUAUAUAUUCAUCAAAGUUUGUUUCCAUACAUUAUUGAUGCGGAUUUGGUGUCUAAUAAAGCUGAAUUGUGAAAAAGAAUCCAUAUAGCCGA
Molecule: unclassified non-coding RNA, 321 nt
Filed under: Hevea brasiliensis (rubber tree)
Lineage: Eukaryota; Viridiplantae; Streptophyta; Magnoliopsida; Malpighiales; Euphorbiaceae
Source: RNAcentral